This 328-nucleotide ribosomal RNA is filed under the name uncultured eukaryote. Its description in RNAcentral is "partial 18S ribosomal RNA". It matches the Rfam family "Eukaryotic small subunit ribosomal RNA", at positions 1470 to 1796 of the family's 1831-position model. The record is from RNAcentral.
CCCUUAGAUGUCCUGGGCCGCACGCGCGUUACACUGAUGCAUUCAACGAGCAUAUAACCUUGGCCGAGAGGCCUGGGUAAUCUUGUUAACAUGCAUCGUGAUAGGGAUAGAUUAUUGCAAUUAUUAAUCUUGAACGAGGAAUUCCUAGUAAUCGCAGUUCAUCAAACUGCAAUGAUUACGUCCCUGCCCUUUGUACACACCGCCCGUCGCUCCUACCGAUUGAGUGGUCCGGUGAGGCUUUGGGAUCUGAGCGGAAAGAGCGUUUCGCUGUUUCUGCUCGGAAAACUCAGUCGAACCUUAUCAUUUAGAGGAAGGAGAAGUCGUAACA